CUUUUCAAUAAUUUAUUUUUAAAAGUUAUUUUAUUCCUAAACAGUAGAGUUCACAUCUUUUUCUGCUAAGUUCUUCCACAAGCUGGCAAAGGAUCCAAGAUGUAGCCUGGCAUUUAUCUUUGUUCUCUUUGCCACUCUCAUGGAAAUAUGGUGAAUGCAGUCCGUUCUUAACGGUCGUAUUUAGCCUCGGUUCUGUGAAUUCGAUUUUCUUUUCCUUUUUAAAGGCGAUAGAGUGGGAUCCAAUAGACGUUGGAGCUGACUCUGAGCUUUUUUGACUUGUACGUGUCACAUCUGAAGGCAAGUUCCCUCGUGCUGGAUGAAAGCUAAAAGGCUGGGUGCCCGGUUUACCAUCAGCUCAGGGCAGAAUAAUGAUGCGAGGCCUGACAUUUAAUACACCAGUGAUCCCAGAUAUUGCUGCUGAAAGCUUUCUCCACAAAGCAGGAACCAGAAGAACCUUACGGCAGUGUCUGACUUUAAUUCACAAGUGAGGGAGCCGUGAGGUGAGGGUCAACUAUCACGUGUCUCUUCAACACAAGGGAAAGAACUGCCCAGCAAAGAGAACCCUAUGUAUGUCAUAAAUAUGAGCUCACAGAGUGCGUGGACCCUUUCAACGCAAUGUCAGAGGCUGCCUCUGCAGAAUUGUUUUAGAUAGGUUUUUAACCCUGUGGGACCCUGCCUCAUGGGAACAGUGUCUAUGCUGCAGUCUCUAAGCAAAGAAUAGACUGGGAUGCCUUUUAAGUGGGCACUGGUGAGAAAUCAUGGAGCACAACUAAAAAGAAAAAAGAAAGCUUUGAAAAUUUCAGCUCUGCAGAGACUGUGGGAGGAGAGGAAAUCCUACCUGUAAAAUAAAAACUUGUCUUAAAAAAUAAAUAUAAGGAGAAACUAAAACCUAAAGUGGAGAAAUGAGAUACUGGGCUUGAUUUCAUAUGCCAUCCUUGCCCGCAAUGAACUGGUUAUCUUAAUGGAACACAAUAAGUUAAUUUAUCAUGCUGAUAUUCAAAAAACAAACACGAUGAUUAGCUCAGGUUCCCUUAAAAUAAUUUCCUUUUAAUUACACAUAAGCAGAUACUUAUUAUGCUGAAUUAAUUAAUCUUAGAAUAAAUUAAUCUUAAUGUAUACUGAUACGGAGCAUUAUUCCA
This 1139-nucleotide long non-coding RNA is filed under the name Homo sapiens (human). Its description in RNAcentral is "HSALNT0299562". The record is from RNAcentral. Lineage: Eukaryota; Metazoa; Chordata; Mammalia; Primates; Hominidae.